Molecule: long non-coding RNA, 756 nt
Filed under: Homo sapiens (human)
Lineage: Eukaryota; Metazoa; Chordata; Mammalia; Primates; Hominidae
Description: HSALNT0284666
Source: RNAcentral
GAGGAACCAGAGGAGCAGAUCCUGCUAGGAGGCUAAGCAUGAAGAAGGAAUUCAAAGAAACCUUGUGGAGAACGAAGACACAGCAGGGAGUCUCUGAUCAAGUGCCACAUCUUUAGAGAAGCUUUUCCAAACAACCGUAACUUUUCAGACAUGAAUUGGAAUAAGAUAAGGCCAACUUGCUCAACUACAUUCCUUACUAAAACAUAAUAACUAAAAGCUACAGUGUGCAUUUCAUGUUUCACAUGUUCUGUUGCAGUGCCAAGACUAGGUUUAAGCAAUUCAGCUGCACAGUUACCAACCACUUCUUCUUGGAAGAUUUACCUACAAUCUAACUGAUAUACUUAACAAAAUUAUAUUUUUAAUAUUGAUUGUACAAUUUUUUACUCCUUAAUUGUAUCUGACAGCUUCUUAUACUUUAAACUUGAUCAACAGUAAAUUGUGAAGAGAGUAACUAUACACCACAUGGCUUGACAAUAUCCAAACAUCAUUCUUGUUCUACAAAAGUUACAAAUGGAGAAGCCCUGGGAGAAUGCAGUCCACAGGGGUCUUUACAGUGUUCCAUAAUCAACUAUUUCUUGAACAAGAAUCAUGUGUACCACUAUAAAGUACCAACUUCAAUUCCAAGUGGAGCAUUUCACAUUGAGAAAGACCCCAACAGAAGUUAGAGUCUCAGCAUCAAGGAUUUUCCCAUGGUGAUUGGAAUAUACAUGGAAGUGAUAUUCAGUAAUUUAAUGACAGCAGAUCCAAACAUAUAAG